AUCAGAUAAUUUGGUUGAUAUGCCAAUCUUCUGUGCAGUACCACAGUUAAUAGCAUGUUAGAGUUCUAAUGGCA
This is a small nucleolar RNA of Camelus dromedarius (Arabian camel), 74 nucleotides long. Its record names the gene SNORD28. It matches the Rfam family "Small nucleolar RNA SNORD28". Rfam says of the family: U28 is a member of the C/D class of snoRNA which contain the C (UGAUGA) and D (CUGA) box motifs. U28 is encoded within the U22 snoRNA host gene (UHG) in mammals and is thought to act as a 2'-O-ribose methylation guide for ribosomal RNA. Lineage: Eukaryota; Metazoa; Chordata; Mammalia; Artiodactyla; Camelidae. The record is from Ensembl.